UGGGGANUAUUGCACAAUGGGCGCAAGCCUGAUGCAGCGACGCCGCGUGAGGGAUGACGGCCUUCGGGUUGUAAACCUCUGUUAGCAGGGAAGAAGAGAGAUUGACGGUACCUGCAGAGAAAGCGCCGGCUAACUACGUGCCAGCAGCCGCGGUAAUACGUAGGGCGCGAGCGUUGUCCGGAAUUAUUGGGCGUAAAGAGCUUGUAGGCGGUUUGUCGCGUCUGCUGUGAAAGGCCGGAGCUUAACUCCGUGUAUUGCAGUGGGUACGGGCAGACUAGAGUGCAGUAGGGGAGACUGGAAUUCCUGGUGUAGCGGUGGAAUGCGCAGAUAUCAGGAGGAACACCGAUGGCGAAGGCAGGUCUCUGGGCUGUAACUGACGCUGAGAAGCGAAAGCAUGGGGAGCGAACAGGAUUAGAUACCCUGGUAGUCCAUGCCGUAAACGUUGGGCACUAGGUGUGGGGGACAUUCCACGUUUUCCGCGCCGUAGCUAACGCAUUAAGUGCCCCGCCUGGGGAGUACGGCCGCAAGGCUA
Molecule: ribosomal RNA, 532 nt
Filed under: uncultured bacterium
Lineage: Bacteria
Description: bacterial SSU rRNA
Rfam family: Bacterial small subunit ribosomal RNA
Source: RNAcentral